RNAcentral lists this ribosomal RNA (641 nucleotides) under Inocybe agordina. RNAcentral describes it as "eukaryotic LSU rRNA". The stretch from base 276 to 429 matches the Rfam family "5.8S ribosomal RNA". Lineage: Eukaryota; Fungi; Basidiomycota; Agaricomycetes; Agaricales; Inocybaceae. The record is from RNAcentral.
UUCCGUAGGUGACCUGCGGAAGGAUCAAUAUUGAAUAAACUUGAGCAGGCUGUUGCUGGCCCCUUGUGGGUAUUGUGCACGUCUGCCAUCUUUACUUCUCCAACUGUGCACACACUGUAGACCUGGAGCUAUUGAUUACAUUUAUGUAGAUUGAGGACUGCUAGCCAUUUUUGGCCUAGCUCUGCCUUGUGUUUCCAGAUUUAUGUUUUUCACAACCUCUAAAAUGAAUCUAGAAUGUUGAAUUGGGUCAUUUGUACCUAUAAAGUUGAAUAUACAACUUUCAGCAACGGAUCUCUUGGCUCUCGCAUCGAUGAAGAACGCAGCGAAAUGCGAUAAGUAAUGUGAAUUGCAGAAUUCAGUGAAUCAUCGAAUCUUUGAACGCACCUUGCGCUCCUUAGUAUUCUGAGGAGCAUGCCUGUUUGAGUGUCAUUAAGUUCUCAACCAUACUAAUUUUAUCUAUUGGUGUGGCUUGGUUAUGGGGGAUAUUUUUUGCAGGCCUAAAAGAAAGGUCUGCUCCCCUGAAAUGCAUUAGUGGUAUCUGGAGCAGAGACAACUAUUGGUGUGAUAACUAUCUAUGCCUUUGGUGAACUGCAUAAACAGAGUAAACUGCUUACAACUUGUGAAACCCUUGUUAGGGACAC